GGAACCCAUCUUCGCAACGAGGGAGCGACCGUCUGAUCGAUCUACAUGGUCUCCAUGUGAACGAAGCAAUCCAUAUACUUAAGGUCGAGCUCGGUACUCUUAAGAGCACCGCGAGGGCUACAGGUGAGAGGAUGCAAGUCAUGAUAUGUGUCGGGACAGGUCAUCACACCAAGGGUUCUCGCACCGCCAGGCUGCCCAUCGCCGUCGAGCAGUUUCUUCUGGAGGAAGGCCUCCACUACACGCAGGCACAACCUGGUUUGCUCCGUGUUGUGGUGUUCUAACA
RNAcentral lists this unclassified non-coding RNA (283 nucleotides) under Hevea brasiliensis (rubber tree). Lineage: Eukaryota; Viridiplantae; Streptophyta; Magnoliopsida; Malpighiales; Euphorbiaceae. The record is from RNAcentral.